GACGAACGCUGGCGGCGUGCUUAACACAUGCAAGUCGAACGGAAAGGCCCUGCUUUUGUGGGGUGCUCGAGUGGCGAACGGGUGAGUAACACGUGAGUAACCUGCCCUUGACUUUGGGAUAACUUCAGGAAACUGGGGCUAAUACCGGAUAGGAGCUCCUGCUGCAUGGUGGGGGUUGGAAAGUUUCGGCGGUUGGGGAUGGACUCGCGGCUUAUCAGCUUGUUGGUGGGGUAGUGGCUUACCAAGGCUUUGACGGGUAGCCGGCCUGAGAGGGUGACCGGCCACAUGGGGACUGAGAUACGGCCAAGACUCAUACGGGAGGCAGCAGUGGGGAAUAUUGCACAAUGGGCGGAAGCCUGAUGCAGCAACGCCGCGUGCGGGAUGACGGCCUUCGGGUUGUAAACCGCUUUCGCCUGUGACGAAGCGUGAGUGACGGUAAUGGGUAAAGAAGCACCGGCUAACUACGU
This 467-nucleotide ribosomal RNA is filed under the name uncultured bacterium. Its description in RNAcentral is "partial 16S ribosomal RNA". It matches the Rfam family "Bacterial small subunit ribosomal RNA", at positions 28 to 506 of the family's 1533-position model. The record is from RNAcentral.